This 511-nucleotide long non-coding RNA is filed under the name Citrus x clementina. RNAcentral describes it as "Citrus clementina (C. clementina) long non-coding RNA (CCLE_LNC003021)". Lineage: Eukaryota; Viridiplantae; Streptophyta; Magnoliopsida; Sapindales; Rutaceae. The record is from RNAcentral.
UAAGUGUCAAUAUUUAGUAGCAGGGACAUUUUGAGGUAUUUUUAAAAAUACAAAGACUAAAUAGACACUAAUCUCAUAAUAUAGAGAUUAAACAAGCUUUUACCCUUUUUUUUUUUUUCCCUUUCUUUCUCUAAUUUGUAAAAGUGCAAAGAAAUGUUUCACUCGGACAAAAUCAAUUUACCGCUCUUUUUAGCAAACGAUGCACCGCAUUUAUUUUUUUUUAACGAGCACUUACGCUGCUUGUUAACGCGCGAGAAAAAUGCGAAAGCAGAUGCUUUAUCUUGCAAGGAAAAGUUAAUUGUUGUACAUAACUAAGAAGGAAAAAUAAUAGGCAGAAACACGAUUAGUAAGUUUAAGCCGCGUAAUUAAUUAAGAGAUAAAAAUUAGAGUUAGCAAAAUUUCGGACUCGAGUUUGCCAAGCCUCUCCUGAGCAUAUAUUUUGUCAGAUUGGGUUGGACCCUGUUCAAUUCAUGCAUUUUUUAGGCAAGGCCUAAUAACUUGAAUGUCAUGU